This 497-nucleotide ribosomal RNA is filed under the name uncultured bacterium. Its description in RNAcentral is "partial 16S ribosomal RNA". It matches the Rfam family "Bacterial small subunit ribosomal RNA", at positions 28 to 507 of the family's 1533-position model. The record is from RNAcentral.
GAUGAACGCUGGCGGCGUGCCUAAUACAUGCAAGUCGAGCGAACAGACGAGGAGCUUGCUCCUCUGACGUUAGCGGCGGACGGGUGAGUAACACGUGGAUAACCUCCCUAUAAGACUGGGAUAACUUCGGGAAACCGGAGCUAAUACCGGAUAAUAUAUUGAACCGCAUGGUUCAAUAGUGAAAGACGGUUUUGCUGUCACUUAUAGAUGGAUCCGCGCCGCAUUAGCUAGUUGGUAAGGUAACGGCUUACCAAGGCGACGAUGCGUAGCCGACCUGAGAGGGUGAUCGGCCACACUGGAACUGAGACACGGUCCAGACUCCUACGGGAGGCAGCAGUAGGGAAUCUUCCGCAAUGGGCGAAAGCCUGACGGAGCAACGCCGCGUGAGUGAUGAAGGUCUUCGGAUCGUAAAACUCUGUUAUUAGGGAAGAACAAAUGUGUAAGUAACUAUGCACGUCUUGACGGUACCUAAUCAGAAAGCCACGGCUAACUACGUG